RNAcentral lists this ribosomal RNA (429 nucleotides) under Fusobacteriota bacterium. RNAcentral's name for it is "Fusobacteria bacterium partial 16S ribosomal RNA". It matches the Rfam family "Bacterial small subunit ribosomal RNA", at positions 355 to 776 of the family's 1533-position model. The record is from RNAcentral. Lineage: Bacteria; Fusobacteriati; Fusobacteriota.
UGGGGAAUAUUGCGCAAUGGGCGAAAGCCUGACGCAGCGACGCCGCGUGAGGGAUGAAGGUUUUCGGAUCGUAAACCUCUGUCAGAAGGGAAGAAACCGCACUGUGCUAAUCAGCAGUGCCUUGACGGUACCUUCAAAGGAAGCACCGGCUAACUCCGUGCCAUCAGCCGCGGUAAUACGGAGGGUGCAAGCGUUAAUCGGAAUUACUGGGCGUAAAGCGCACGUAGGCUGCUUUGUAAGUCAGGGGUGAAAUCCCACGGCUCAACCGUGGAACUGCCUUUGAUACUGCUUAGCUGGAAUCCGGGAGAGGGUGGCGGAAUUCCAGGUGUAGGAGUGAAAUCCGUAGAUAUCUGGAGGAACAUCAGUGGCGAAGGCGGCCACCUGGACCGGUAUUGACGCUGAGGUGCGAAAGCGUGGGGAGCAAACAGG